CUUGGAGGAAUGUAUAGCGAGAGCUAGCUGCACUAGUUUAGUGCAGGAUUGUCUCUACAAAUAAAGUUCCGGGUGGGUUAUGACAAUGACAUUUCCUGUCUGUGUGUCUUGACCAAAUUACGUGCCAGCAGUCGCGGUAAUACGUAGAAGACUAGUGUUAUUCAUCUUUAAUAGGUUUAAAGGGUACCUAGACGGUAAAUCAAGUCCAAGAAGGAUACUAAUUUGACUAGAGUUAAAUGUGAGGGGGCUAUAGAGUACUGUUUAGUGUAGAGAUGAAAUUCAGUUAUACAUUGUAAGGCACUGGCGAAGGCGAAGGCAUCUCCUUAUGUUUUAACUGACGUUGAGGGACGAAGGCUAUGUAUCGCCAAAAGGAUUAGAUACCCAAGUAGUCAUAGCAGAAAAUUAUGAAUGUCAUAGGAAGGAAGACUUUACAUUUUUCAAAACAAUUAGAAUAAUAAGAUACAGGAAAAAUUUUGAAAGAAUUUUUUUUUUAUAAAUAAUAGUGUAAGCAUUCCACCUCAAGAGUAAUUUGGCAACAUUGGAACUGAAAUCAUUAGACCGUUUCUGAAACAAGUAGUGAAGUAUGUUGUUUAAUUUGAUGAUCCGCAAAAUACCUUACCACAGUUUGAAUAGAAACUUUUUUUAUACAAGUGCUGCACGGUUGUCUUCAGUUAAUGUCGUGAGAUUUUGGUUAGCUCCAUAAAAUUAACGUAAACCCUUACUUUAUUUUUAUAUAGAGUAGUUCCCCACUAUAUUGGAAUAGAUAACAGGGA
This 773-nucleotide ribosomal RNA is filed under the name Heterodermia subascendens. Its description in RNAcentral is "SSU rRNA". It matches the Rfam family "Bacterial small subunit ribosomal RNA", at positions 355 to 1179 of the family's 1533-position model. Lineage: Eukaryota; Fungi; Ascomycota; Lecanoromycetes; Caliciales; Physciaceae. The record is from RNAcentral.